Molecule: non-coding RNA, 136 nt
Filed under: Mycolicibacterium smegmatis
Lineage: Bacteria; Bacillati; Actinomycetota; Actinomycetes; Mycobacteriales; Mycobacteriaceae
Also listed under: 1 other name
Source: RNAcentral
GUGCGGUAUGACACCAUCGGUGCCGAAGGCGACUGCGGAUCGAGGAAGCCGGUGCGAAUCCGGCACGGUCCCGCCACUGUGAUCGAUGCCCGCGGGGCGUCGAGAGUCAGACACUCACCGCAGUCACCACCUCGCA